This 1079-nucleotide ribosomal RNA is filed under the name Bipalium kewense. RNAcentral describes it as "partial large subunit ribosomal RNA". It matches the Rfam family "Eukaryotic large subunit ribosomal RNA", at positions 408 to 1317 of the family's 3401-position model. Lineage: Eukaryota; Metazoa; Platyhelminthes; Tricladida; Geoplanidae. The record is from RNAcentral.
CUUAGAGGUAAACGAGUGGAGCCGAAGGAGUUGUAUAGAAUUCAGUCGAUUAUGUUUUGUACGUAAAUUAACAACAUUUUUAUGGGAGUUGUUGGUAUACAUUUUACGGAAUGUGAUUGAUGCAUUUUCUAUAUAACUAAACUGCGACCAAUAGUGUUGAUUUUCUGUCGUAAUUGUGAAGGUGAUCAAUUUUUCGGAAUUGGUUUUAUAGCUAUUUACAUGGUUAAUCAAUGUAUUGUUAAACGCGGUUGGCUAAUUUUGAUAGUUUUUGAUUUGGAUUGCUUAUUUUUAGACUAUAAAUAGACUAUUUUUAAGCAGUUUAAGUCUUUUAUUGUUGAAGGGUCAACCUAAAGUCUGCAGUCAUUAUGUAGGUUACCUACUUGUCCCGUCUUGAAACACGGACCAAGGAGUUUUAUAUGAUCGCGAGUCAAAGGGCUUUACGAAACCCCAGGGCGUAAUUAAUGUAAAGAUUCACUUUAGUGAAUUGCAAUGUGACCUCGCUGUAAAAAGCUUGUGCAACAUUGACCCGUCUAAAGAUGUUCGCAUCUGGACGGAGUUUGAGCGAUCAUGUAGAGACCCGAAAGAUGGUGAACUAUGCUUGUGCAGGUUGAAGUCAGAGGAAACCCUGAUGGAAGACCGCCGCGGUUCUGACGUGCAAAUCGAUCGUCGGACAUGAGUAUAGGGGCGAAAGACUAAUCGAACCAUCUAGUAGCUGGUUCCCUCCGAAGUUUCCCUCAGGAUAGCUGGCAUUUGUUGUCGUAGUUUUACCUGGUAAAGCGAAUGAUUAGAAGUAUUGGGGACGAAAUGUCCUCAACUUAUUCUCAAACUUUAAAUGGGUUCGAAGUGCAUCUCUCUUCAUUGGAGAUGUACAUUGAAUACGAAUGCCUAGUGGGCCAUUUUUGGUAAGCAGAACUGGCGAUGUGGGAUGAACCAAACAUUUGGUUAAGGUGCCUAACAUCACGCUCAUGAGAACCCACAAAAGGUGUUGGUUGAUAAAGACAGCAGGACGGUGGACAUGGAAGUUGUCAUCCGCUAAGGAGUGUGUAACAACUCACCUGCCGAAUCAACCAGCCCUGAAA